Molecule: long non-coding RNA, 1404 nt
Filed under: Homo sapiens (human)
Lineage: Eukaryota; Metazoa; Chordata; Mammalia; Primates; Hominidae
Description: novel transcript
Source: RNAcentral
GAGGCGCGGGCCGUGUGCCGCUGGGUGGCCCUGCGAGCCGCCGCUCUCCGCCUCUCUAGGCUCAGCUUCCAUCACCGCGUGGCGGAGCCCGUGUCCGGGCCAGUAUUUCUGCCUGUCACUUAUUAUCUGGUUGAGCUGGUGGCGGGAGUCCCGGCCCAUGUGUGUUACCAGAGGGAUGGUCUAGAGAAUGAAUCCAUCUGUCAGAGGCAUCCAAGAAGAAAGGCCUGGGCCAGGAUCACAUGGAAGACCCUGAAGACAGGAUCGGGUCUUGCCUGCCUGGAUUGAACAGAGACGCAGUGACCAGUCCCAUCUGCUCCCACCCUGCUGCCCUCUGAAUCGAGAGUUUGAGGCCAUGACCAGGGUAACGUUCAGCUGGUAGAGACAACACAACCCUGCUGGCUGUUUAAGCCAUGCUGGAGUGGUGCUCACAGGGUAACAAUUCUGAGUGAUGAACAGAAGCAGCACUUGAGCCAGACUCUGACCAAGAACUGCGGGCAGGCUAGAGCCACACAGAUCCCCGCCUCAGUAGACCGGCUGCAGCAGGAGUUCAAGUGCUACGGAUGCAAUAGCUCAGCGACUGGCAGCGCAGCACGUACCUGCUGUCGUGGGAGGUGAGAGCCACCAGUGCCCGACAGCGGCUGCAAGGCAGUGGUGGCGCUCUGCAGCCAGCCGGCCCACCCCUCCAACAUCUGCAAGGGGGUGGGAGGCUGCCUCACCAAGCUACCUGCUACUCAUGGGGGCGAUGGGCAUCAGGGUGGCCUGCCUGGAGGUGAGUUGCAGUUGGGAGAUUAGGAGGAAGGUAUGUUGCAGUUGGGAGAUUAGGAGGAAAUACUCACUCGGGAUAUUAAACUAGGCUCUGAACCCGUCUCCAGCGGCAGAUAUCUCCAGUAACUGGGCUGGCAUGUCCGUGCCCUGCGCUGCUCUCUUCUCUCAGCUUCCCUUUGCAACCAAGGCUGAUUCCCACAGUCAGUCUCUCCCCCAGAGAACAUGAAGGAAGAUGCCUGAGGGACAACAUUAACUUGUCAGGAACAGGGGCCUGGGAGGAGUGUGGAUGUGGGCUCAGGUACGGGCAUGCACCUUGAGUGUGUGCAUGUGGGGGUCAGUGUGCAAGCCUGCCGUGGUGUGUGUGGGUCCGUGGGGGUCCCCAUGUUCCCGGGUCUAUGUGGGUGGGGUGGUAUGCACUGUGUGUGUUUAGGGUGCUUGUGCAUGUGUGAGUGUGUACAUAUCUGCAUUCAUUCCUGUGUGUGUCUGCGUCUGUGUCUGUGUGUGUGUGUCUGUGUCUGUGGGUGUGUGUGUGUGUGUGUGUGGGUGUGUGUGUGUGUGUGUACCAUCAGCCCUCCAUAUCCACAGGUUCUGUAUCCUUGGAUUCAACCAACCAUGGAAUAAAAGUACUAACAAAAAGGA